Molecule: long non-coding RNA, 852 nt
Filed under: Mus musculus (house mouse)
Lineage: Eukaryota; Metazoa; Chordata; Mammalia; Rodentia; Muridae
Description: long non-coding RNA chr3:149493719-149494571
Source: RNAcentral
AGGAGAAAACAGAGAAGAGGGGAGAUGACUGGUCUAGGGAGGAGCUGAGAGCUGGGCCCAAAUGACAGACAGCUUUAAAGUGUGUUUACUCUGUUCACGGAAAUGAGCAGAUACAGAGCUCGCAAAUACUGAGAAUGAAUCAGCUCAGCCUCCCAACUGGAGACUCUUUACUUGGUCUUGGUAGCUCCAUGUGUGACAGAAAACAACCCUUUUCAGUCAUAUCACAGGACUGGACUUCUCUGGCUUCAGGCAGAAGCAUCAGUUCUGUUGUUCAUGAGAAUGAAGUUUGGGUCACCUGAUGAAGUAUUAGCAAUGCGUAUGCAAAGUGGCAUGUCCUUCUGGAGUUUCUUCUCGUUUGUCCUUUCAUUGUGUAUCUCUGCAGGACUGAAGCAAAUUCAGUUGGUCAACUAAGUGAAAAAUGAUCACAAAAAGGGUAACAUUUGAAAUGUCCAGCUACUUCACUAGAAAAAGAGAAAAAUGAAAAGGAUGUCUCGAUUUUUGGACAGUUUACAUAUAGAGAAACCAUUAAACACUAAAGCUUGAGGAAUAUUUACACAUUAACCCCGUAAAUCUGUUCAUAAUGUAUGCUCUAAAGUCAUCAUAGUAUAGAGAAUGAAAUGAGUGUACUAAUCAGGUAGAGAUUUUAUGAAGUGGCAUGGUGGUACAUGCCUUCAUUUCAGUGUUUGAGAAACAGAGGCAGGGAUAUCUCUGAGUUAGAGGCCAGCCUGAUCUACAGAGAAAGUCGAGGCCCAACAGGGCUCAGGGCUACAUAGACAAACCUCAUCUCAAAAAACAAACAAAUAAGCAAACAACAACAUCAAACAAAAAACAAAAAACAAAAAAACAAAAUAA